This 67-nucleotide transfer RNA is filed under the name Marmota monax (woodchuck). RNAcentral's name for it is "tRNA.Cys". Lineage: Eukaryota; Metazoa; Chordata; Mammalia; Rodentia; Sciuridae. The record is from RNAcentral.
GGUUGUGGCUUAGUGGUAGAGUGCUUGCCUACAGCAUGUGAGGCACUGGGUUCUAUCCUCAGCACCA